UCUUGGUCAUUUAGAGGAAGUAAAAGUCGUAACAAGGUUUCCGUAGGUGAACCUGCGGAAGGAUCAUUAAAGAAAUUUAAUAAUUUUGAAAAUGGAUUUUUUUUUUUUUUGUUUUGGCAAGAGCAUGAGAGCUUUUACUGGGCAAGAAGACAAGAGAUGGAGAGUCCAGCCGGGCCUGCGCUUAAGUGCGCGGUCUUGCUAGGCUUGUAAGUUUCUUUCUUGCUAUUCCAAACGGUGAGAGAUUUCUGUGCUUUUGUUAUAGGACAAUUAAAACCGUUUCAAUACAACACACUGUGGAGUUUUCAUAUCUUUGCAACUUUUUCUUUGGGCAUUCGAGCAAUCGGGGCCCAGAGGUUAACAAACACAAACAAUUUUAUCUAUUCAUUAAAUUUUUGUCAAAAACAAGAAUUUUCGUAACUGGAAAUUUUAAAAUAUUAAAAACUUUCAACAACGGAUCUCUUGGUUCUCGCAUCGAUGAAGAACGCAGCGAAAUGCGAUACGUAAUGUGAAUUGCAGAAUUCCGUGAAUCAUCGAAUCUUUGAACGCACAUUGCGCCCCUUGGUAUUCCAGGGGGCAUGCCUGUUUGAGCGUCAUUUCCUUCUCAAACAUUCUGUUUGGUAGUGAGUGAUACUCUUUGGAGUUAACUUGAAAUUGCUGGCCUUUUCAUUGGAUGUUUUUUUUUCCAAAGAGAGGUUUCUCUGCGUGCUUGAGGUAUAAUGCAAGUACGGUCGUUUUAGGUUUUACCAACUGCGGCUAAUCUUUUUUAUACUGAGCGUAUUGGAACGUUAUCGAUAAGAAGAGAGCGUCUAGGCGAACAAUGUUCUUAAAGUUUGACCUCAAAUCAGGUAGGAGUACCCGCUGAACUUAAGCAUAUCAAUAAGCGGAG
This 886-nucleotide ribosomal RNA is filed under the name uncultured fungus. RNAcentral's name for it is "eukaryotic LSU rRNA". The stretch from base 440 to 593 matches the Rfam family "5.8S ribosomal RNA". Lineage: Eukaryota; Fungi. The record is from RNAcentral.